CGGAGGUAGCCAAGUGGAUCAAGGCAG
This 27-nucleotide transfer RNA is filed under the name Fatsia polycarpa. RNAcentral's name for it is "partial tRNA-His". Lineage: Eukaryota; Viridiplantae; Streptophyta; Magnoliopsida; Apiales; Araliaceae. The record is from RNAcentral.